AGCAUAUCAAUAAGCGGAGGAAAAGAAACCAACAGGGAUUGCCUCAGUAACGGCGAGUGAAGCGGCAAAAGCUCAAAUUUGAAAUCCCCCGGGAAUUGUAAUUUGAAGGUUGGGGAAAAAGUAACGUGUUCUUCUAAGUCUAUUGGAAAAUGGCGCCACAGAGGGUGAUAGCCCCGUCUGAUUCAACACAAUACAUAUCUUCCCCCUCCAAAGAGUCGAGUUGUUUGGGAAUGCAGCUCUAAGUGGGUGGUAAAUUCCAUCUAAAGCUAAAUAUUGGCGAGAGACCGAUAGCGAACAAGUACAGUGAUGGAAAGAUGAAAAGCACUUUGAAAAGAGAGUGAAAAAGUACGUGAAAUUGUUGAAAGGGAAGGGCUUGCAAGCAGACACAACUUUUUGUUGGGCCAGCAUCGGGGGAGUAGGAGGCAAAAAGGAGUAGAAAUGUAGCUUCGGUGUUAUAGUCUGCUCUCAUACCUCCCCACCCUCCCGAGGCCUGCGUAUCUAGGAUGCUGGCGUAAUGGUUGCAAGUCGCCCGUCUUGAAACACGGACCAAGGAGUCUAACGUCUAUGCGAGUGUUUGGGCUAAAAACUCAUACGCGCAAUGAAAGUAAUAGGAGCGAGCCUCGGCGCAGCUCCGACCACAUUGGAGCCUAAACCCCAAUGUGAGUAAGCAUGGCUGUUGGGACCCGAAAGAUGGUGAACUAUACCUGGAUAGGGUGAAGCCAGAGGAAACUCUGGUGGAGGCUCGUAGCGGUUCUGACGUGCAAAUCGAUCGUCGAAUCUGGGUAUAGGGGCGAAAGACUAAUCGAACCAUCUAGUAGCUGGUUCC
Molecule: ribosomal RNA, 826 nt
Filed under: Metschnikowia gruessii
Lineage: Eukaryota; Fungi; Ascomycota; Pichiomycetes; Serinales; Metschnikowiaceae
Description: LSU rRNA
Rfam family: Eukaryotic large subunit ribosomal RNA
Source: RNAcentral